AGUAAUGUUGCGAUGAUCUGCUCUAGUUGUGUAAGAUAACCGCGGAAACCUGUGGCUAAGAGACUAGAAUGAGACGCAACCCUAUCAGUUUGUUGGUAGUGUAACGGACUACCAAGACUAUGACGGGUGACGGGAAAUCAGUGUUUGAUUCCGGAGAGGGAGCCUGAGAGAUGGCUCCCACGUCCAAGGAUGGCAGCAGGCGCGAAAAUUGUCCACUCUUUGUUGAGGAGACAGUUAUGAGGCGUGAUUGUAAGAGCGAAGAGUAAACAUCUUUGUGUAAUGCAACUAGAGGGCAAGUUUUGGUGCCAGCAGCCGCGGUAACUCCAACUCUAGAAGUGCCUAUUGUGGAUGCUGCAGUUAAAAAGUCCGUAGUCGUUGAUGCAAUUAAAAGGUGUAGAUCAAGUGCACCAAGUUUGUUAGUUGUGGCGGAGCGGACAGGGAGCAUGGUAUAGGUUGGCGAAGAAUGAAAUCUCAAGACCCAACCUGGACCAACUGAGGCGAAAGCGGUGCUCUUGUACGCGUCUGUGGAUCAAGGACGAAGGCUAGAGGAUCGAAAGUGAUUAGACACCGCUGUAGUUCUAGCAGUAAACUAUGCCGACAUUCUCUGUUGUUGAGACGGGGAGGGGAGAAAUCUUAGUUUUCGGGCUCUGGGGAUAGUACGCUUGCAAGAGUGAAACUUAAAGCGAAAUUGACGGAAGAUCACCACAAGGAGUGGAUUGUACUGCUUAAUUUGACUCAACACGGGAAAACUUACCAGGGCCAAGUCUCUCGUAGAUUGGCGACAUGAGAGGGGCAAGAGUGGUGCAUGGCCGUUGGAAAUUGAUGGGAUGACCUUUAGCUUAAGUGCUGUAACCAGUGAGAUCUUCUAGACAGGUGUCUUACUGACACAGGAAGGAGAAGGCUAUAACAGGUCCGUGAUGCCCUCAGAUGCCCUGGGCCGCAAGUGCAAUACAAUAUCCGUUUGAGCGACAUAAAUAUGCUUACGGAUGAGUAGGAUUAGCUCUUGUAAAUGAGCUAUGAAUGAGGAAUUCCUAGUAACUGUGUCUCAUCAAGGCACAGUGAAUGCGUCCCUGUUCUUUGUACACACCGCCCGUCACUAUUGCGGAUG
This 1108-nucleotide ribosomal RNA is filed under the name Paranucleospora theridion. RNAcentral's name for it is "SSU rRNA". It matches the Rfam family "Microsporidia small subunit ribosomal RNA", at positions 90 to 1213 of the family's 1311-position model. Lineage: Eukaryota; Fungi; Microsporidia; Enterocytozoonidae. The record is from RNAcentral.